GACGUAGGAUGCAAGCGUUGUCCGGAUUUAUUGGGCGUAAAGAGUUCGUAGGUGGUUUGUUAAGUCUGAUGUUAAAGACUGGGGCUCAACCUCGGAAAUGCAUUGGAUACUGGCAGACUUGAGUGUGGUAGAGGCAAUCGGAAUUCCAGGUGUAGCGGUGAAAUGCGUAGAUAUCUGGAAGAACACCGGUGGCGCAAGCGGAUUGCUGGGCCAUAACUGACACUGAGGAACGAAAGCUAGGGGAGCGAAUGGG
This 253-nucleotide ribosomal RNA is filed under the name uncultured bacterium. Its description in RNAcentral is "partial 16S ribosomal RNA". It matches the Rfam family "Bacterial small subunit ribosomal RNA", at positions 524 to 776 of the family's 1533-position model. The record is from RNAcentral.